RNAcentral lists this ribosomal RNA (253 nucleotides) under uncultured bacterium. RNAcentral describes it as "partial 16S ribosomal RNA". It matches the Rfam family "Bacterial small subunit ribosomal RNA", at positions 524 to 776 of the family's 1533-position model. The record is from RNAcentral.
GACGGAGGAUGCAAGCGUUAUCCGGAAUUAUUGGGCGUAAAGCGUCCGCAGGUGGCUGUUCAAGUCUGCUGUCAAAGCGCAGAGCUUAACUCUGUACGGGCGGUGGAAACUGAAGAGCUAGAGUAUGGUAGGGGUAGAGGGAAUUCCCGGUGUAGCGGUGAAAUGCGUAGAUAUCGGGAAGAACACCAGUGGCGAAAGCGCUCUACUGGGCCAUAACUGACACUGAGGGACGAAAGCUAGGGGAGCGAAAGGG